UACGAAGGGGGCUAGCGUUGUUCGGAAUUACUGGGCGUAAAGCGCGCGCAGGCGGCUAUCCAAGUCAGUGGUGAAAGCCCGGAGCUCAACUCCGGAAUUGCCAUUGAAACUGUUUGGCUCGAGUACGAGAGAGGUGAGUGGAAUUCCCAGUGUAGAGGUGAAAUUCGUAGAUAUUGGGAAGAACACCGGUGGCGAAGGCGGCUCACUGGCUCGUAACUGACGCUCAUGCACGACAGCGUGGGGAUCAAACAGG
RNAcentral lists this ribosomal RNA (253 nucleotides) under uncultured bacterium. RNAcentral's name for it is "partial 16S ribosomal RNA". It matches the Rfam family "Bacterial small subunit ribosomal RNA", at positions 524 to 776 of the family's 1533-position model. The record is from RNAcentral.